GCAAACUUGGUCAUUUAGAGGAAGUAAAAGUCGUAACAAGGUUUCCGUAGGUGAACCUGCGGAAGGAUCAUUAUCGAGUUAGGGUCUUCUCCAGGCCCGACCUCCAACCCUUUGCCUACUUGACCUUUAGUUGCUUCGGCGAGCCCGCCACCUUGAGAUAUAGGUGGUCGCUAGAGGAGGUUCUCCUCUAGCUCGCGCUCGUCGAUAGCCAUUCUUAAACUCUUGUUUAACUGUGUCGUCUAAGCAAUCAUGUAAUUAAAAGCAAAACUUUCAACAACGGAUCUCUUGGUUCUGGCAUCGAUGAAGAACGCAGC
This 314-nucleotide unclassified non-coding RNA is filed under the name uncultured fungus. RNAcentral describes it as "partial contains small subunit ribosomal RNA, internal transcribed spacer 1, and 5.8S ribosomal RNA". The stretch from base 1 to 73 matches the Rfam family "Eukaryotic small subunit ribosomal RNA", at positions 1759 to 1831 of the family's 1831-position model. Lineage: Eukaryota; Fungi. The record is from RNAcentral.